UGCCCAGACUCCUACGGGAGGCAGCAGUGGGGGAUAUUGCACAAUGGGGGGAACCCUGAUGCAGCGACGCCGCGUGGGUGAAGAAGCGCCUCGGCGCGUAAAGCCCUGUCAGCAGGGAAGAAAAUGACGGUACCUGAAGAAGAAGCCCCGGCUAACUACGUGCCAGCAGCCGCGGUAAUACGUAGGUGGCGAGCGUUGUCCGGAAUUACUGGGUGUAAAGGGAGCGUAGGCGGGAUAUUAAGUUGAAUGUAUAAGCUAUCAGCUCAACUGAUAGAAGCGUUCAAAACUGAUAUUCUUGAGUGAAGUAGAGGCAGGCGGAAUUCCUAGUGUAGCGGUGAAAUGCGUAGAUAUUAGGAGGAACACCGGUGGCGAAGGCGGCCUGCUGGGCUUUAACUGACGCUGAGGCUCGAAAGCGUGGGUAGCAAACAGGAUUAGAUACCCGUGUA
Molecule: ribosomal RNA, 446 nt
Filed under: uncultured bacterium
Lineage: Bacteria
Description: partial 16S ribosomal RNA
Rfam family: Bacterial small subunit ribosomal RNA
Source: RNAcentral